Molecule: ribosomal RNA, 468 nt
Filed under: uncultured bacterium
Lineage: Bacteria
Description: partial 16S ribosomal RNA
Rfam family: Bacterial small subunit ribosomal RNA
Source: RNAcentral
GACGAACGCUGGCGGCGUGCUUAACACAUGCAAGUCGAACGGAAAGGCCCUGCUUUUGUGGGGUGCUCGAGUGGCGAACGGGUGAGUAACACGUGAGUAACCUGCUCUUGACUUUGGGAUAACUUCAGGAAACUGGGGCUAAUACCGGAUAGGAGCUCCUGCUGCAUGGUGGGGGUUGGAAAGUUUCGGCGGUUGGGGAUGGACUCGCGGCUUAUCAGCUGGUUGGUGGGGUAGUGGCUUACCAAGGCUUUGACGGGUAGCCGGCCUGAGAGGGUGACCGGCCACAUUGGGACUGAGGUACGGCCCAGACUCCUACGGGAGGCAGCAGUGGGGAAUAUUGCACAAUGGGCGGAAGCCUGAUGCAGCAACGCCGCGUGCGGGAUGACGGCCUUCGGGUUGUAAACAGCUUUCGCCUGUGACGAAGCGUGAGUGACGGUAAUGGGUAAAGAAGCACCGGCUAACUACGUG